Molecule: ribosomal RNA, 391 nt
Filed under: uncultured bacterium
Lineage: Bacteria
Description: bacterial SSU rRNA
Rfam family: Bacterial small subunit ribosomal RNA
Source: RNAcentral
GACGAACGCUGGCGGCGUGCUUAACACAUGCAAGUCGAGCGGUAAGGCCCUUUCGGGGGUACACGAGCGGCGAACGGGUGAGUAACACGUGGGUGACCUGCCCUCAGCUCUGGGAUAAGCCUGGGAAACCGGGUCUAAUACCGGAUAUGACUCCAUGACGCAUGUUGUGGGGUGGAAAGCCUUGUGCGGCUGAGGAUGGGCCCGCGGCCUAUCAGCUUGUUGGUGGGGUGAUGGCCUACCAAGGCGACGACGGGUAGCCGGCCUGAGAGGGCGACCGGCCACACUGGGACUGAGACACGGCCCAGACUCCUACGGGAGGCAGCAGUGGGGAAUAUUGCGCAAUGGCCGAAAGGCUGACGCAGCGACGCCGCGCGGAGGAUGACGCCUCGGU